RNAcentral lists this ribosomal RNA (967 nucleotides) under Lactiplantibacillus plantarum. RNAcentral's name for it is "bacterial SSU rRNA". It matches the Rfam family "Bacterial small subunit ribosomal RNA", at positions 70 to 1002 of the family's 1533-position model. The record is from RNAcentral. Lineage: Bacteria; Bacillati; Bacillota; Bacilli; Lactobacillales; Lactobacillaceae.
CUCUGGUAUUGAUUGGUGCUUGCAUCAUGAUUUACAUUUGAGUGAGUGGCGAACUGGUGAGUAACACGUGGGAAACCUGCCCAGAAGCGGGGGAUAACACCUGGAAACAGAUGCUAAUACCGCAUAACAACUUGGACCGCAUGGUCCGAGUUUGAAAGAUGGCUUCGGCUAUCACUUUUGGAUGGUCCCGCGGCGUAUUAGCUAGAUGGUGGGGUAACGGCUCACCAUGGCAAUGAUACGUAGCCGACCUGAGAGGGUAAUCGGCCACAUUGGGACUGAGACACGGCCCAAACUCCUACGGGAGGCAGCAGUAGGGAAUCUUCCACAAUGGACGAAAGUCUGAUGGAGCAACGCCGCGUGAGUGAAGAAGGGUUUCGGCUCGUAAAACUCUGUUGUUAAAGAAGAACAUAUCUGAGAGUAACUGUUCAGGUAUUGACGGUAUUUAACCAGAAAGCCACGGCUAACUACGUGCCAGCAGCCGCGGUAAUACGUAGGUGGCAAGCGUUGUCCGGAUUUAUUGGGCGUAAAGCGAGCGCAGGCGGUUUUUUAAGUCUGAUGUGAAAGCCUUCGGCUCAACCGAAGAAGUGCAUCGGAAACUGGGAAACUUGAGUGCAGAAGAGGACAGUGGAACUCCAUGUGUAGCGGUGAAAUGCGUAGAUAUAUGGAAGAACACCAGUGGCGAAGGCGGCUGUCUGGUCUGUAACUGACGCUGAGGCUCGAAAGUAUGGGUAGCAAACAGGAUUAGAUACCCUGGUAGUCCAUACCGUAAACGAUGAAUGCUAAGUGUUGGAGGGUUUCCGCCCUUCAGUGCUGCAGCUAACGCAUUAAGCAUUCCGCCUGGGGAGUACGGCCGCAAGGCUGAAACUCAAAGGAAUUGACGGGGGCCCGCACAAGCGGUGGAGCAUGUGGUUUAAUUCGAAGCUACGCGAAGAACCUUACCAGGUCUUGACAUACUAUGCAAAUCUAA